UCAUACUAAACUCUAAUCUAAAAAAAAAGUUCAUACCAAACUUACAUAGGCCAGAGGCCCCAGACUUGGAACAGAUACUAAAAUGCCGAGGGGUUAAACAAGUUUUUAAAAUCUCAACCAAAUGAAGAAGAAACAAACGCACAAGCAAUACGCAUAGAAAAAAAUCACACAGUUUAAAGAAGUCAGAGUCCAAUAUCAGAAUAGGUAACAAAUCAAACAAA
Molecule: long non-coding RNA, 221 nt
Filed under: Mytilus galloprovincialis (Mediterranean mussel)
Lineage: Eukaryota; Metazoa; Mollusca; Bivalvia; Mytilida; Mytilidae
Source: RNAcentral